AACGAACGCUGGCGGCAUGCCUAACACAUGCAAGUCGAACGAGACCUUCGGGUCUAGUGGCGCACGGGUGCGUAACGCGUGGGAACCCGCCCUUAGGUUCGGAAUAACUCCCCGAGAGGGGUGCUAAUACCGGAUAAUGUUUUCGGACCAAAGAUUUAUCGCCUUUGGAUGGGCCCGCGUUGGAUUAGCUAGUUGGUAGGGUAAAAGCCUACCAAGGCGACGAUCCAUAGCUGGUCUGAGAGGAUGAUCAGCCACACUGGGACUGAGACACGGCCCAGACUCCUACGGGAGGCAGCAGUGGGGGAUAUUGGACCAUGGGCGAGAGCCUGAGACAGCGAGGCCGCGUGAGUGAUGAAGGCCUUAGGGUUGUAAAGCUCUUUUACCCGGGAUGAUAAUGGCAGUACCGGGAGAAUAAGCUCCGGCUAACUCCGUG
Molecule: ribosomal RNA, 433 nt
Filed under: uncultured bacterium
Lineage: Bacteria
Description: partial 16S ribosomal RNA
Rfam family: Bacterial small subunit ribosomal RNA
Source: RNAcentral